Molecule: ribosomal RNA, 124 nt
Filed under: Prolemur simus (greater bamboo lemur)
Lineage: Eukaryota; Metazoa; Chordata; Mammalia; Primates; Lemuridae
Source: RNAcentral
GUCUACGGCCAUACCACCCUGAAGGCGCCCGAUCUCGUCUGAUCUCGGAAGCUAAGCAGGGGCAGGCCUGGCUAGUACUUGGAUGAAAAAAAAAUAAAUAAAUAAAAGGUUUUUAUUAUGGUCA